Molecule: transfer RNA, 86 nt
Filed under: Alkaliphilus serpentinus
Lineage: Bacteria; Bacillati; Bacillota; Clostridia; Peptostreptococcales; Natronincolaceae
Also listed under: 3 other names
Description: Alkaliphilus sp. LacT tRNA-Leu
Rfam family: tRNA
About the family: Transfer RNA (tRNA) molecules are approximately 80 nucleotides in length. Their secondary structure includes four short double-helical elements and three loops (D, anti-codon, and T loops). Further hydrogen bonds mediate the characteristic L-shaped molecular structure. tRNAs have two regions of fundamental functional importance: the anti-codon, which is responsible for specific mRNA codon recognition, and the 3' end, to which the tRNAs corresponding amino acid is attached (by aminoacyl-tRNA synthetases). tRNAs cope with the degeneracy of the genetic code in two manners: having more than one tRNA (with a specific anti-codon) for a particular amino acid; and 'wobble' base-pairing, i.e. permitting non-standard base-pairing at the 3rd anti-codon position.
Source: RNAcentral
GCGGAUGUGGUGGAAUCGGCAGACACGCUAUCUUGAGGGGGUAGUGAGCUACGCUCGUAUGGGUUCAAGUCCCGUCAUCCGCACCA